This 497-nucleotide ribosomal RNA is filed under the name uncultured bacterium. RNAcentral's name for it is "partial 16S ribosomal RNA". It matches the Rfam family "Bacterial small subunit ribosomal RNA", at positions 28 to 507 of the family's 1533-position model. The record is from RNAcentral.
GAUGAACGCUGGCGGCGUGCCUAAUACAUGCAAGUCGAGCGAACAGACGAGGAGCUUGCUCCUCUGACGUUAGCGGCGGACGGGUGAGUAACACGUGGAUAACCUACCUAUAAGACUGGGAUAACUUCGGGAAACCGGAGCUAAUACCGGAUAAUAUAUUGAACCGCAUGGUUCAAUAGUGAAAGACGGUUUUGCUGUCACUUAUAGAUGGAUCCGCGCCGCAUUAGCUAGUUGGUAAGGUAACGGCUUACCAAGGCGACGAUGCGUAGCCGACCUGCGAGGGUGAUCGGCCACACGGGAACUGAGACACGGUCCAGACUCCUACGGGAGGCAGCAGUAGGGAAUCUUCCGCAAUGGGCGGAAGCCUGACGGAGCAACGCCGCGUGAGUGAUGAAGGUCUUCGGAUCGUAAAACUCUGUUAUUAGGGAAGAACAAAUGUGUAAGUAACUAUGCACGUCUUGACGGUACCUAAUCAGAAAGCCACGGCUAACUACGUG